GUGGGGAAUAUUCCGCAAUGGACGAAAGUCUGACGGAGCAACGCCGCGUGAGUGAUGAAGGUUUUCGGACUGUAAAGCUCUGUUGUUUAGGACGAAAGUGCCUGUUGCAAAUAGUUACAGGUAUUGACGGUACUGAACGAGGAAGCCACGGCUAACUACGUGCCAGCAGCCGCGGUAAUACGUAGGUGGCAAGCGUUGUCCGGAAUUAUGGGGCGUAAAGAGCAUGUAGGCGGGAAUCUAAGUCUGUUGUGAAAAUGCGGGGCUCAACCCCGUAUUGCGAUGGAAACUGGGUUUCUUGAGUGCAGGAGAGGAAAGGGGAAUUCCCAGUGUAGCGGUGAAAUGCGUAGAUAUUGGGAGGAACACCAGUGGCGAAGGCGCCUUUCUGGACUGUGUCUGACGCUGAGAUGCGAAAGCCAGGGUAGCGAACGGGAUUAGAUACCCGGGUAGUCC
RNAcentral lists this ribosomal RNA (450 nucleotides) under uncultured bacterium. RNAcentral describes it as "partial 16S ribosomal RNA". It matches the Rfam family "Bacterial small subunit ribosomal RNA", at positions 354 to 796 of the family's 1533-position model. The record is from RNAcentral.